Molecule: long non-coding RNA, 1078 nt
Filed under: Sus scrofa (pig)
Lineage: Eukaryota; Metazoa; Chordata; Mammalia; Artiodactyla; Suidae
Description: lncRNA (ENSSSCG00070000873.1)
Source: RNAcentral
CCCCAGGGCAGGGCGGGGCGAUCCCAGCGUGCGGCCCUGAGGCACUGUCCCCACACCGCUCCACACUGUCCCGAAGCCCCCGAGCGCCAGCCCGGACCCCGGGACACGCCCCCCACCACACACACACACACACACACACACACACACACACACACACACUCCCCCCCCGACCCCGGGACACACACCCCCACCCCACCCCCUGCACCCCCGCACCCCCGACCGCUGGGACACCCCCCACACACUCCCCUCCCCUCCAGCAACGCGCGGCGCUCCCAUCCCCCGGCAGCCCACCAGGUGGCGCUCGCUCCCCAUUUCCCCCCCCCCUCCCGCGCCGACGCCCGUGACGUCAGCCGCCCGGCUCCAUUUGAGCGCCUCUCGGCAGCCGAGAACUCGGACUUCCCGUGUGGCUCACAACAUAACUACUCGGCGUUGCUUCUACAGUGGCUGUGGCUCGACCCCUGGCCUGGGAACUUCCAUAUGCCGCAGCCCCGCGGCGGCAGAUGGCACUCGUUCUGCCGCUUUUUCCUGGCUGUGUGCGAUGCCAUCGCAUAGAUGUCCCCGGGUCUGCGAAGUGCACUCACCUGUCAGUGGACCUUUAGGUGGCUUCCAGAUCUUGGCUCUGCCCCGCGGCGGCAGAUGGCACUCGUUCUGCCGCUUUUUCCUGGCUGUGUGCGAUGCCAUCGCAUGGAUGUCCCCGGGCCUUCGAAGUGCACUCACCUGUCAGUGGACCUUUAGGUGGCUUCCAGAUCUUGGCUCUGGUGAGUAGUGCGGCGACAGACAGAGGGGUGCCCGGGUCUGCUUCCGGGAAAGUUUGGUCCCGGUGAAAUGGAGCUGUUUGGAGGCCGGCUUCGGUCUUUGUGUGGGCCGGCCCGUGUAGGGCUGCUUGGCUGAGACUCUGUCGAGGAGGGAGGCCUUCAGCCACCGGGGCCUCACGGGGCCUCCCCGUGCGGCACCAUCACAGAGCUCUCCGUCACUGCCCCUGGUGGGGGUGAGGGAAGGGGCGUGUUUGGGGGGUGGGGUGGGCGGGGUGUGUGCGCGCGCGCGUGCACGCACGCUGGCGGGCGUGGGUGUCCCGGGG